RNAcentral lists this ribosomal RNA (253 nucleotides) under uncultured bacterium. Its description in RNAcentral is "partial 16S ribosomal RNA". It matches the Rfam family "Bacterial small subunit ribosomal RNA", at positions 524 to 776 of the family's 1533-position model. The record is from RNAcentral.
UACGUAGGGUGCGAGCGUUAAUCGGAAUUACUGGGCGUAAAGCGUGCGCAGGCGGUUUUGCAAGCCGGAUGUGAAAUCACCGGGCUUAACCUGGGAAUGGCAUUUGGGACUGCAAGGCUGGAGUGCGGCAGAGGAGACUGGAAUUCCUGGUGUAGCAGUGAAAUGCGUAGAUAUCAGGAGGAACACCGAUGGCGAAGGCAGGUCUCUGGGCUGACACUGACGCUCAUGCACGAAAGCGUGGGGAGCAAACAGG